Molecule: non-coding RNA, 27 nt
Filed under: Rattus norvegicus (Norway rat)
Lineage: Eukaryota; Metazoa; Chordata; Mammalia; Rodentia; Muridae
Source: RNAcentral
UGUGAAAUAUUGUGCGCCCAUAGCAGU